This 73-nucleotide transfer RNA is filed under the name Marmota monax (woodchuck). Its description in RNAcentral is "tRNA.Ala". The stretch from base 8 to 68 matches the Rfam family "tRNA", at positions 6 to 65 of the family's 71-position model. From Rfam's summary of the family: Transfer RNA (tRNA) molecules are approximately 80 nucleotides in length. Their secondary structure includes four short double-helical elements and three loops (D, anti-codon, and T loops). Lineage: Eukaryota; Metazoa; Chordata; Mammalia; Rodentia; Sciuridae. The record is from RNAcentral.
GCUGGGAUGUAGCUCAGUGGUAGAGUGCUUGCCUAGCAUGUGUGAGGCACUGGGUUCGAUUCUCAGCACAGCA